CGAGUGAAGAGGGAAAAGCUCAAAUUUUGAAUCUGGCGUCCUUGACGUCCGAGUUGUAAUCUAGAGAAGUGUUUUCCGUAGCGGACCGUGCACAAGUCUCCUGGAAUGGGGCGUCAUAGAGGGUGAGAAUCCCGUGUAUGGCAUGGACUACCGUUACUCUGUGAUACACUCUCAACGAGUCGAGUUGUUUGGGAAUGCAGCUCUAAUUGGGUGGUAAAUGCCAUCUAAAGCUAAAUAUUGGCGAGAGACCGAUAGCGAACAAGUACCGUGAGGGAAAGAUGAAAAGCACUUUGGAAAGAGAGUGAAACAGUACGUGAAAUUGUUGAAAGGGAAACGCUCGAAGUCAGACACACCCUUGGGGACUCCACCUUGCUUCUGCUUGGUUUACUUCACCUUGGGUGGGUCAACAUUAGUAUUGGUCAGAGGGGAAAGACUUGGGGAAGGUAGCAGCAUUCGUGCUGUGUUAUAGCCUCUUGUUGUAUACUCUGACUGGAACUAAGGACCGCAGCGCGCCUUACGGCCGGGCUUGCCCACGUACGCGCUUAGGAUGUUGGCA
This 556-nucleotide ribosomal RNA is filed under the name Sebacina sp. Seb17L. Its description in RNAcentral is "eukaryotic LSU rRNA". It matches the Rfam family "Eukaryotic large subunit ribosomal RNA", at positions 90 to 631 of the family's 3401-position model. Lineage: Eukaryota; Fungi; Basidiomycota; Agaricomycetes; Sebacinales; Sebacinaceae. The record is from RNAcentral.